RNAcentral lists this ribosomal RNA (1320 nucleotides) under uncultured bacterium. RNAcentral's name for it is "bacterial SSU rRNA". It matches the Rfam family "Bacterial small subunit ribosomal RNA", at positions 64 to 1380 of the family's 1533-position model. The record is from RNAcentral.
GAGGGGCAGCAUGGUCAAAGCUUGCUUUGACCGAUGGCGACCGGCGCACGGGUGCGUAACGCGUAUCCAACCUACCCUCCGCUCGGGGAUAGCCUUGCGAAAGUAAGAUUAACACCCGAUGGUUUCCGGAAUCCGCAUGUUUUCCGGAAUAAAGUAUACGGCGACGGAUGGGGAUGCGUAGGAUUAGGUAGUAGGCGGGGCAACGGCCCACCUAGCCGACGAUCCUUAGGGGUUCUGAGAGGAAGGUCCCCCACACUGGAACUGAGACACGGUCCAGACUCCUACGGGAGGCAGCAGUGAGGAAUAUUGGUCAAUGGGCGAGAGCCUGAACCAGCCAAGUAGCGUGCAGGAUGACGGCCCUAUGGGUUGUAAACUGCUUUUUCAGGGGAAUAUAGUCACCCACGCGUGGGUGUUGGCAUGUACCCUGCGAAUAAGCAUCGGCUAAUUCCGUGCCAGCAGCCGCGGUAAUACGGAAGAUGCGAGCGUUAUCCGGAUUUAUUGGGUUUAAAGGGAGCGUAGGCGGGCUGUUAAGUCAGCGGUCAAAUGUCAUGGCCCAACCUUGGCAUGCCGUUGAAACUGGCGGCCUUGAAUGUGCGCAAGGAAGGUGGAAUUCGUCGUGUAGCGGUGAAAUGCUUAGAUAUGACGAAGAACCCCGAUUGCGAAGGCAGCCUUCUGGAGCAUGAUUGACGCUGAGGCUCGAAAGUGCGGGUAUCGAACAGGAUUAGAUACCCUGGUAGUCCGCACAGUAAACGAUGGAUGCCCGUCAUUGGCGAUACAUUGUCAGUGACCAAGGGAAACCGUUAAGCAUCCCACCUGGGGAGUACGCCGGCAACGGUGAAACUCAAAGGAAUUGACGGGGGCCCGCACAAGCGGAGGAACAUGUGGUUUAAUUCGAUGAUACGCGAGGAACCUUACCCGGGCUUGAAUUGCAGAGGAAAGAUCCAGAGAUGGUGAUGCCCUUCGGGGCCUCUGUGAAGGUGCUGCAUGGUUGUCGUCAGCUCGUGCCGUGAGGUGUCGGCUCAAGUGCCAUAACGAGCGCAACCCCUGCCGCCAGUUGCCAUCAGGUUAGGCUGGGCACUCUGGCGGGACUGCCGUCGCAAGGCGUGAGGAAGGUGGGGAUGACGUCAAAUCAGCACGGCCCUUACGUCCGGGGCGACACACGUGCUACAAUGGCCGGCGCAGAGGGCAGCCACGCGGCGACGCGGAGCGAAUCCCGAAAGCCGGUCUCAGUCCGGAUCGGAGUCUGCAACCCGACUCCGUGAAGCUGGAAUCGCUAGUAAUCGCGCAUCAGCCAUGGCGCGGUGAAUACGUUCCCGGGCC